CUACUACUAAUUUAUUUCUUUAUAGGUCCACCCUGUCAGAUUUCCAUCAAUCUAGCUCUCUUGUGCCUGAAAAACAGAAACGAACUGAUUUUGCCGCGGGUUUGCUCCAAAAUUUUGUGUUCGUACGCUUCCUCCCUCAAUUUGCCGGGUUUUCUUCUCCACUCUCGGAAGCAGUUAUGGUCCUAACAGAGAACAAAACCCAUCUCAUCUCCUUGACUCCUUCCCUGUACAUACCGACCCAAUCUCUCCAGCCUUCGCAGCUUCUCCACAGCGGAUGGCGGGGCCCGCCGCGGCCGACGGCACAAUCCCUUGCAGCCCAGGCGACGUCGCCGGUGCGGCAGUGCCUCAGCCCUGGUCGCUCGUCCCCAGGGCAAGAUCACCCGCCUCAACGCGCUUCUCCACGCCGUCAUCGAGGUCAACUCCGACGCGCUCCAGCAGCCGGCGCGCGCCGACACCGCGAGCGCGCCUCUAGCCACCGCUACUGCGGGCCGCUCCAUGGCGUCCCCAUCCUCAAGGACAACAUCGUGACGCGGGACCGGCUGAAAACGACGGCCGGGUCGUUCGCGCUGCUCGGCUUCGUCGUCUGUCGUGACGCCAGCGUGACGGCCGGCCUCCGCGCCGCCGCUGCCACCAUCCUCGGCAAGGCAAACUCCUCCAAGUGGUCCAACUUCCGCCCCGUCCCGAACGGCUGGAGCCAAGACGCUGGUAACACCUAUCACCACCCUAAGCUGUCGUUUUUUUCUCCAGCAUCUCGUCUUGUAUGCAAUGUGUUUGUGAAAUUGUCCAUAAAGAGCCCCAUGUUGUCAACUGACGUGAUCCGGUCCAGCCGCGCGGCGCUGGCAUGAGUGCAUCAUCCGUGUUGAACGGGUGGUCCCUGGCGGCUUUGCCCGCGCGCAUCCCCUAUGUUUUCAGUUUCAGCACCAGCAGCAACCACCUCACCGUGAUGGAUUCACUGGCUGAAUUUGUUCCUGCCAAUCAACGACCGCUUAUCAUAGCAGCUCCAGUUAGCUACUCACACGAAGGUCAUUUGCAUCUACUAGAAGCUGCAGCAUGGACGUGAUAUAUAUAUUUGCAAGAUCUGGUGAGAACACUAUUUAAUAAUCCCAAACACCAUAUUAGUGCUGGCAGUGAUUGUCAUACUAUGUGCACACGAUCUAUUAGAAUUUGUUGAACCCAAGCUUUGGCUAUCUUGCUCAUGCCAUAAUUGUUUGGAAUGUCAGAUUACAUUAGGAGGUGAUGAAGUAAGUGUUCCAAACGUGCAAAUCCAUGUCAUCAUCCACCAGCACUGCCCCCUCACUAUUACCAUUCUCUACCAUAUGUACUAGUAAUUAUUAUAGUUAUACAGAUGAAGUAAGAUUUCAUGCUGGAACUUUCUUAGGAAUAAUAUGCAACUUGUGACCUGUUUUUGCUAGCAUUAUUGUUGUUUUGAAUGAAGAAUUGAUGGUUGCAAUUGGCCGAUUUCUGCUAACCAGUGAAUCAGUAAGGUAUGAAUGGAUGCAAAUUCUGCUAAACACAUAGCUAUUUUUAUUCAGGAUAGAGCUGCGAACUACGACAUGAAUAAUACUCAUAUGUACAUGAAUGUACAUGUUAAUACAUACAUUAGGAUAAAUAUAAUAAAUAACUAGAUGAAUGGGUAGUGUGAACUAACCUAGCAAGUUCUGUUUUUUAAAUCGUUUGGUGGAAAAUCUGGCAGUUUUUUUAUCAAAAGAUAUGUGAAAUGAUGUAGACACUCCCAGUCUUAUAUACAGUCCUCAUCAAGGUUGUUCAUGUUGCUUAGGAUUCUAUUCAUUCGUCCUUAUCUUUUUUUUUUGUUAGUAACAACAUCUUUGUACCAUGAUCUAAGCUUUCAGGCUGGUAUAAGUAUAAUCAGCCAUCUGUGGCCUUUCAAUUAUUCUAAUUAUGCAUGUGUACAAGAUUGUCCUUUUUUAUUCAAUUCAGUGAUCUCCAAGGUUGCAUGUAAGCUUUGUCCACUAGAUCAUGGAUCCAACACAAGCCUCCAGGUGCUGUUAACCUCAUCUCCACAUAUUUAGCGACAAACUUUGUGUGAGAUGAAGAUCAAAUUGUAUAGUCAAAUAUAUUCACUUGUGGUUAUUAAAUUUAUAACACACCUACAUUACCUUUACUUUCUAUUUCAACACAGCAAACUAUGGAUUUAAAUGCUAGUAAACAGACAUUGCUUUUCUACAGACCAUUUAUGAGCAUUUUUGGUAGAAUAAAGGAGUUUUCAUAUGUGGAAAAAAAUAUCUUGAAACUAAGAUCUGAUCCAAUGGCCAUUUAACAAUUGUGUGAAUUAGUGAUUAUUACAGCAGAAGUGUGUGAUCAUUGAGUAUGUUUAUUAAAAUUCUUUGAAGUGGUGGAAUUUUUUUACACUGCCACCACAUGUUUGUCACUGUUGUUGGUAUAGAAAGUACAAAUUUUCAUCUAUGUGAUAUCAACUGUUUAUUUUCAAGCCCAUUCUUUGGUUUGUCAAGGUGGGAAAUUCAAGUAAAGGCUUGUUUUGAUAACCUCUUUUGCAGGAUUUAUUUUCAAUUUGUUCAAGGCUGUUGGUAUUGCACGGAGGAAAUUCAUUACCUACUUUUUUUUUAACCUUGCAAUGUCAUAUUGAUAACCCAUGUAUCCCCGCAAAAAAAAUAUUGAUAACCCAUGUAAUCAUGUCAUCAACUCAUGUGAUAUUUGGAGUGCCUUGGAGUGUAUUGGCUUUGAAAGCUUUGCUAUCCUGUAUUUCCCAUGGUUAUUCAUCAACAGAGAUUGCACAUUGUUGCUUUCUACUC
Non-coding RNA from Oryza sativa Japonica Group (Japanese rice), 2771 nucleotides. NCBI's taxonomy places the organism in Eukaryota, Viridiplantae, Streptophyta, Magnoliopsida, Poales, Poaceae. The record is from RefSeq and is a predicted model, not a curated record.